GCCUUCCUAGGGGGGCAGCAGUGGGGAAUAUUGGGCAAUGGGCGCAAGCCUGACCCAGCAACGCCGCGUGAAGGAAGAAGGCUUUCGGGUUGUAAACUUCUUUUCUGAGGGACGAAGAAAGUGACGGUACCUCAGGAAUAAGCCACGGCUAACUACGUGCCAGCAGCCGCGGUAAUACGUAGGUGGCAAGCGUUAUCCGGAUUUAUUGGGUGUAAAGGGCGUGUAGGCGGGAAUGCAAGUCAGAUGUGAAAACUAUGGGCUCAAACCAUAGCCUGCAUUUGAAACUGGAUUUCUUGAGUGGUGGG
Molecule: ribosomal RNA, 305 nt
Filed under: uncultured bacterium
Lineage: Bacteria
Description: bacterial SSU rRNA
Rfam family: Bacterial small subunit ribosomal RNA
Source: RNAcentral